This is a long non-coding RNA of Oncorhynchus kisutch (coho salmon), 1713 nucleotides long. NCBI's taxonomy places the organism in Eukaryota, Metazoa, Chordata, Actinopteri, Salmoniformes, Salmonidae. The record is from Ensembl.
CCAUUGUGUGUCUGUGGGAUGGAGAUUUGCACUAAAGAUUAUAGGCUGUGUAAUAAUGUGUUAGAGAGAGAGAGGUGUGUGUGUGUGUGUGUGUGUGCGUGCGUGCGUGUCAGAGAGACAGAGCGGGAGACGGGGUUGGCAGUGUAAUUUGGGGCCUGUGCUGUGCAGCUGUUUCCAAGCCACCGGCAUCUGUUUCAAUGUAGCUCCUGCAUCUGGGUUGGGAAGGACUCCUGAUACAGAGACCUGAGAAAGAGAGGGAGAGAGUUUCAAUGUCACGUGAAAAAGUACAGUGGAAUGUCUUUCAGCUCUAAACCCCAACAACGGACUAAUCAAUAUCAAUGUAGCACCAAAAACAACAAUGUUGAACAACAACAAACAAUAAAUAAAAAUAAGAAGAACACAAGAAAGUAAGAUUACAAUAUACAGGGUCAGCAUACUGUAUACAGGGUCAGCAUACUGUAUACAGGGUCAGCAUACUGUAUACACGGUCAGCAUACUGUAUACAGGGUCAGCAUACUGUCUACAGGGUCAGCAUACUGUCUACAGGGUCAGCAUACUGUCUACAGGGUCAGCAUACUGUAUACAGGGUCAGCAUACUGUAUACAGGGUCAGCAUACUGUCUACAGGGUCAGCAUACUGUCUACAGGGUCAGCAUACUGUCUACAGGGUCAGCAUACUGUCUACAGGGUCAGCAUACUAUAUACAGGGUCAGCAUACUAUAUACAGGGUCAGCAUACUGUCUACAGGGUCAGCAUACUGUCUACAGGGUCAGCAUACUGUCUACAGGGUCAGCAUACUGUCUACAGGGUCAGCAUACUGUCUACAGGGUCAGCAUACUGUCUACAGGUCAGCAUACUAUAUACAGGGUCAGCAUACUGUCUACUAUAUACAGGGCCAGUAUACUAUAUACAGGGUCAGCAUACUAUAUACAGGGUCAGCAUACUGUAUACAGGGUGAGCAUACUAUAUACAGGGUCAGCAUACUAUAUACAGGGUCAGCAUACUGUAUACAGGGUGAGCAUACUAUAUACAGGGUCAGCAUACUGUCUACAGGGUCAGCAUACUGUCUACAGGGUCAGCAUACUGUCUACAGGGUCAGCAUACUGUCUACAGGGUCAGCAUUCUGUCUACAGGGUCAGCAUACUGUCUACAGGGUCAGCAUACUGUCUACAGGGUCAGCAUACUGUAUACAGGGUCAGCAUACUAUAUACAGGGUCAGCAUACUGUCUACUAUAUACAGGGCCAGUAUACUAUAUACAGGGUCAGCAUACUAUAUACAGGGUCAGCAUACUGUAUACAGGGUGAGCAUACUAUAUACAGGGUCAGCAUACUAUAUACAGGGUCAGCAUACUGUAUACAGGGUCAGCAUACUAUAUACAGGGUCAGCAUACUAUAUACAGGGUCAGCAUACUGUCUACUAUAUACAGGGUCAGCAUACUAUAUACAGGGUCAGCAUACUAUAUACAGGGUCAGCAUACUAUAUACAGGGUCAGCAUACUAUAUACAGGGUCAGCAUACUGUCUACUAUAUACAGGGUCAGCAUACUAUAUACAGGGUCAGUAUACUGUAUACAGGGUCAGCAUACUGUAUACAGGGUCAGUAUACUGUAUACAGGGUCAGCAUACUGUAUACAGGGUCAGCAUACUAUACACGGGGUCAGCAUACUAUAUACAGGGUCAGCAUACUGUAUACAGGGUCAGCAUACUAUAUACAG